CCAAUAGCGUAUAUUAAAGUUGUUGCAGUUAAAAAGCUCGUAGUUGAAUUUCGGGACUAAUAUGUCGGUCGUACUUUGUACGUACUAACAUUAUUGGUUUCUCCCUUCUGACGAACCACGAUGUCAUUAAUUUGGUGUCGUGGGAAAUCAGGACUGUUACUUUGAAAAAAUUAGAGUGUUUAAAGCAAGCUCGCGCUUGAAUACAUUAGCAUGGAAUAAU
This 220-nucleotide ribosomal RNA is filed under the name uncultured Glomus. RNAcentral's name for it is "partial small subunit ribosomal RNA". It matches the Rfam family "Eukaryotic small subunit ribosomal RNA", at positions 591 to 818 of the family's 1831-position model. Lineage: Eukaryota; Fungi; Glomeromycota; Glomeromycetes; Glomerales; Glomeraceae. The record is from RNAcentral.